RNAcentral lists this ribosomal RNA (466 nucleotides) under uncultured bacterium. Its description in RNAcentral is "partial 16S ribosomal RNA". It matches the Rfam family "Bacterial small subunit ribosomal RNA", at positions 28 to 507 of the family's 1533-position model. The record is from RNAcentral.
GACGAACGCUGGCGGCGUGCUUAACACAUGCAAGUCGAACGGAAAGGCCCUGCUUGCAGGGUACUCGAGUGGCGAACGGGUGAGUAACACGUGGGUGAUCUGCCCUGCACUUCGGGAUAAGCUUGGGAAACCGGGUCUAAUACCGGAUAGGACCGCACUUUAGUGUGUGUGGUGGAAAGUUUUUUCGGUGUAGGAUGAGCUCGCGGCCUAUCAGCUUGUUGGUGGGGUAAUGGCCUACCAAGGCGGCGACGGGUAGCCGGCCUGAGAGGGUGUACGGCCACAUUGGGACUGAGAUACGGCCCAGACUCCUACGGGAGGCAGCAGUGGGGAAUAUUGCACAAUGGGCGCAAGCCUGAUGCAGCGACGCCGCGUGGGGGAUGAAGGCCUUCGGGUUGUAAACUCCUUUCGCUAGGGACGAAGCGUUGUUGUGACGGUACCUAGAGAAGAAGCACCGGCUAACUACGUG